RNAcentral lists this ribosomal RNA (253 nucleotides) under uncultured bacterium. RNAcentral describes it as "partial 16S ribosomal RNA". It matches the Rfam family "Bacterial small subunit ribosomal RNA", at positions 524 to 776 of the family's 1533-position model. The record is from RNAcentral.
UACGGGGGGGGUAAGCGUUGUUCGGAAUUACUGGGCGUAAAGGGCUCGUAGGCGGCCAACUAAGUCGGACGUGAAAUCCCUCAGCUUAACUGGGGAACUGCGUCCGAUACUGGAUGGCUUGGAUUUGGGAGAGGGAUGCGGAAUUCCAGGUGUAGCGGUGAAAUGCGUAGAUAUCUGGAGGAACACCGGUGGCGAAGGCAGCUGGCUACACAAAUAUUGACACUGAGGCACGAAAGCGUGGGGAUCAAACAGG